This 253-nucleotide ribosomal RNA is filed under the name uncultured prokaryote. RNAcentral describes it as "partial 16S ribosomal RNA". It matches the Rfam family "Bacterial small subunit ribosomal RNA", at positions 525 to 777 of the family's 1533-position model. The record is from RNAcentral.
ACGAAGGGUGCAAGCGUUACUCGGAAUUACUGGGCGUAAAGGGUGCGUAGGUGGUUUUUUAAGUCUGCUGUGAAAUCCCCGGGCUUAACCUGGGAAUGGCAUUUGGGACUGCAAGGCUGGAGUGUGGCAGAGGAGACUGGAAUUCCCGGUGUAGCAGUGAAAUGUGUAGAUAUCGGGAGGAAUACCGAUGGCGAAGGCAGGUCUCUGGGCUGACACUGACGCUCAUGCACGAAAGCGUGGGGAGCAAACAGGA